RNAcentral lists this ribosomal RNA (386 nucleotides) under uncultured bacterium. RNAcentral describes it as "bacterial SSU rRNA". It matches the Rfam family "Bacterial small subunit ribosomal RNA", at positions 28 to 419 of the family's 1533-position model. The record is from RNAcentral.
GACGAACGCUGGCGGCGUGCUUAACACAUGCAAGUCGAGCGGUAAGGCCCUUCGGGUACACGAGCGGCGAACGGGUGAGUAACACGUGGGUGACCUGCCCUUAGCUCUGGGAUAAGCCUGGGAAACUGGGUCUAAUACCGGAUAUGACCUCAUGACGCAUGUUGUGGGGUGGAAAGCCUUGUGCGGCUAGGGAUGGGCCCGCGGCCUAUCAGCUUGUUGGUGGGGUGAUGGCCACCAAGGCGACGACGGGUAGCCGGCCUGAGAGGGCGACCGGCCACACUGGGACUGAGACACGGCCCAGACUCCUACGGGAGGCAGCAGUGGGGAAUCUUGCGCAAUGGGCGAAAGCCUGACGCAGCGACGCCGCGUGAGGGAUGACGGCCUGG